GGGGCUGUGGCUCAGUGGCAGAGCACUCGCCUCAUAAGCAUGAGGCAUUGGGUUCAAUCCUCAGCACCA
Non-coding RNA from Ictidomys tridecemlineatus (thirteen-lined ground squirrel), 69 nucleotides. Lineage: Eukaryota; Metazoa; Chordata; Mammalia; Rodentia; Sciuridae. The record is from Rfam.